This 25-nucleotide small nuclear RNA is filed under the name Arabidopsis thaliana (thale cress). RNAcentral describes it as "snRNA_16279". Lineage: Eukaryota; Viridiplantae; Streptophyta; Magnoliopsida; Brassicales; Brassicaceae. The record is from RNAcentral.
UUGUGGUUGGUCGGAUACCAUCAUC